RNAcentral lists this long non-coding RNA (1703 nucleotides) under Drosophila guanche. Lineage: Eukaryota; Metazoa; Arthropoda; Insecta; Diptera; Drosophilidae. The record is from RNAcentral.
UACGCGGUCACACUGAAGCAAAGGCACAUUUAAAAAAUGUAAAUAUAGAAAUAGUUAAGAUAAGCAUUUUAAUCAUUUAAAACCUUAGUAAAUAGUCAUGGCUGAAGCCGCAGCAUGUUUAUUGCUGUACAAAUACAAGGCGGUAUGUACUAAGCAGACUGGUACAAUUUUUAGCACUCCAUGUGGCGUCUGUUGCAUCGUUUGGAUGAUCAGAUCAACACAGAUAUUCAUAGAUGGCGAGAUAAGGGACCAUGAUGUCCUAGACGAGGAUGAACAGUCACUCAUUGAUCACUCGCGACACGCAGAGAAAUCAGUUCGUACUGCUGCUAGCUUUGACUUCAUCUAGCAUCGGAAGCUGAACCGCCAUAUGAUCCUCUACUGCACUGUGCUUGCCUCGGCCAAGAAAGACAGUGAAAGCCAGCGGAAACGCAAAAGAUGAGGGAAUAAGGCACUCGCAAGUAUCCCGCAGUAGCGGGAAUGGGUAAGUCUAUUGCUAGCCAGCACGCGGGUUCAGCGAUUCGUUGCAAACAUUGAGAUGGGCCAUUCGCCUGGCAUGUGCCAGCUGCUCUUUUUUUACAUGGUCUUGUUUUGUGUGUUUUCAGAAAAUCAAAUCCGAUUUCGUUAUCAUGGAGCUGAAGGAUGAGGAUCUUGCAGCUCUCCAAACACACACAUUGGCCGAUGUGAUAGCGGUGUCGUACCCCAACAUUUAUCUCAACUUCUUGGUGGCCAACUGGAGUGUGAGCGCGACGUCAUUGCAACCAUCCUCCCGCAGAUUUGGUCGCAAGAUAUGCUAAGGAUACACAAUGUACACAAACAUGUCCUUUAUGUCCUUGCAUCCGGAAGGAUUGAAAUCCAUCAAGGACCUCAAGGACUGCAGGAUACGUCUGUUUUACCUGAAAUUAGGCCAUAAUUUUUAAAAUAAAAGGACCCCCUGAAAGAAAAUGCAUAAGUUCCAUCAGCAUUAUCCGAGCAUUGUGAAAGUAGCUACACUUUUUAUUGAUAUACAAAAUCUACAUAUUUUUUUAAUGUUGUGUAUGUUUUGUGUUAUAAUCUUAACCUGUGCUCUAAUCCGACUUGGCAUUAUUCUGAGUGGAAAUCGGUAACUUCGAUGUGGAACUAGUUAUCCAGAUCAAAGGUACACCCAAGUUUGCAUGAAUCAACGACCCAUCAACGUUUCUGCGGGAAGAGGGUUGUGGUGACGGGGCAUUCACGCUCCAACUGGAACACAUAGGUUUCCCAAUGUUGGGAUAUCGAUUGGCGAACCGGGCUCAUCAGCCAUCCGUGAAUCUUAGAGCUGCGAGAGACGCGUUCGUUUUCGAUUUUCUGGAAAACAACAAACGGGAAUACAUACAUAUGUAAAAAGAAAGCUACUACCAGAAUCAAUACACAACUUACCUUCUCAGUGCACCGCUUGAUCCUAUAUGCAUACGAAUCCUUGCUCAUGGCCAAGGUAACCAUCCGAUCCUGUCCCAAUGGAAAGCAUUUGAGAGCAUUUCAGCUGUCAACAUCCACAUGUGCUUCCUAUCGCUCAAUCAACCUGCGAACUGCCAAUACUUGCAGCUAAACUGCAGAUGUACUGCAGUUCUUCGGUGACAGGGUACAGUACAGAUUUAAGGUCUUGGACAUGUCCUAAUUCCGUUGUGCGCUUAUUAGCGAUGCAAUUUGGGAUUUGUCGCUGCUUUUGUUGUUUUGGUAACCAGGGC